Rana temporaria (common frog) is the source of this 6911-nucleotide long non-coding RNA. RefSeq lists it as uncharacterized. NCBI's taxonomy places the organism in Eukaryota, Metazoa, Chordata, Amphibia, Anura, Ranidae. The transcript has 2 exons. The record is from RefSeq and is a predicted model, not a curated record.
AUUGGCUCUCGCUGCUGUCAAAGUCAGUUAGCCAAUCAGGAGAGGGAGGGGACACACUAAAUGGACACAUUGAGCUGCUGCUCGGCUUGGAUGCCCCCAUAGCAAGCUACUGAUUGAAGUCCAUCCGAGUUGCGAAAGUUCAGCCGGACGAGGAACCAGUUGUGGUCGGGGGUAAAGGGGAAGCAGUCGCCACUUGGGGGCUAUCCACCUUGUUACCGAAGACUACUGUGAGUAAGCUCAAGCAAGUACCACAGCUGACUUCUCACCAACCGUAGAUGGUAAAGAAGUGGGAGAGCUUCAGCGAAUGCCAAGCCAGGGACUCUGAAGGAUGGAGGGGGUGACAAUUGUGGACUAUACAGCGGGUUAGCUGUGGAAGAGCUCAGGAGAUCCGGUGAUGACUGUGAUCUGGAAGUCUAGUGAGAUACUGGGAGCUCAGUGAGUGAAGACCUACAGUGGGAUACUGGGAGAUAAGAGAAGAACAGUUUUGUAUUACCAAGAGUUAUGUAUGACUACCUUUUAGUGACUGUUACAAGUUCAGUUGCCAUAGGAUACAGCGGUCCUACCUAUUCAGAUAUGGCAUCCGGCUGGAGGCCUUUCCCUGUAUAGCUGUCUACCUACUGUAUAGUGUCUCAGAGUCUGCCAAUUACAAUUGCAUCUACCUAAGGGUGUUCUGGUCCUAAUCCUCUCUCCCAAAGUUCUUGUUAAGAGACAAUACAUCUCUUGUUCGCAUUCAAAAAGUGACCGGCGCCCAUCAUUUCAUCUUGCAAUAUUAUAAAUGGUUAGUGCAGCGCAUACAAUUCAAAUGAUGCAUUAAAGGUAUAGGUGAAAAAAAACAGCAAAAAAAAAAUGAGCCAAAAAGUCAAUCAAAAUCAAAAUUAAACGUGAAUAAUAGUCCAAAGAAUUAUGUGACAAACAAAUUCCAGAAUCCGCUACAAGAUUCACCAGUGACGUAGAUUCCAAACAAUAAGUGAUCCCUCCACCACUAGGAUUGGCCACUCUCACCUUAAGGCAUGGACCUUACCAGGUAGUCAUGCAAGCAGAUAACAUAAAUACAGAUACACCUGAUGGCAAAUUGUCUUAUCAGGUCCCUCAGUAGUCUGCAGCUGGAUAAUAUACCAUGUAUGGAAGAAAAAUAGAUCUAAGUGCUCUCCAUUUCAAAAAUGCUAACAUUUAUUGGAUAAGCAUAAAACUACUCACAAAGAUCCGAACGAUCAGUAGCAUAAAACAAACAAACGGCAGGUUUGUUUCACAAAAGGACGGCAGCGAGCGACGUCUGUCCUCCCCUGUACGCAUUACCUUUCCACGAACUUCCUCAGUGGGGUGGAGCCAAAACAUUGUCUGCCUACCAACAACAAAACAAACGUGUCCACAUAAACCAAGGCGUCACAUGCAAAUGUGGGGGAAAACGUUGUUACUAUAUUGUCGGUAAACUGCAGGACGAUUGACUUUUAGAACUUAUAAAUUAACUUCUUAUAAAUUAUCGAUCACUGCACAAAGUACAAAGUGAUCACAACAGCCACAUUACUGAGCUAAUUAUAAUACAAUACAAUCAGGCUAUCGCCAUCAUGUGGUCAAGAAUGAUAUUAACACCUAUUCUUCUAAAAUAAAUAGAUUAUAUAAAAUUGAAUAACAGUCGCUCGAUACCGUUCUUAAGAAACAUUAAAAAAAUUAUACAAUCUAAAAAUAUUACAUAUGAAAAUAUAUAUAAAAAUUAUAUAAUUAAUAAGUACAACCCCUUAAUAUACAAAAAUCUAAAAACAUUUAUUUAUCAGAAAUAAAACAAUUCAGAUCAAAAACAUUGAGUCCUUCAGGGGUGAGAACCUUGGCCUCCACAAUUCAAUAGGAUUCUCUUUGGCUAAUAUGUCGAAUAUAAUUCCCCCCCCUCCAAUGUUGAUCGACCCUUUCUAUCCCCAGAAUUUCAAACAUCUGGGGUCUCUGUUAUGACAUUGCCUGAAGUGCCUGGAAACACUAUGGGUACGAAGACCUCUCUUGAUAUUAUUAACAUGUUCACCAACCCGAACCCCCAAAGCCUGUGAUGUGCGGCCUAUAAACUGGAGUUCGCAGUCGCACUACUUGCAUUACACCCACCAUGUGCUGCCGCUGCCCCCCCAGAGUCCCCUUUUUCUUACCUGAGCACAAUCGUUCCAGUGCUGAGCAUUAACCCAGCGGCUCCUGCAGCUGUCUCCGUCCUCAUUGGAUAGAUUGAUAGCAGCAGGAGCCAUUGGCUUUUGCUGCUGUCAAACAAAUCCAGUGACAUGGGAGCCAGGGGCGGAGCAGAGUCCUGCUGUCUGUGUCAGUAGACGCAGCAGUAGGACUCGGGAGCUCGCCUGCACGGUUGCCGCUCAUGUAAAUCUGCUCUCCGUGGAGGCACUCGCUGAAGAGCAGGAGCGCCACCGGGAGACCCCAGAAAAGAAGGAUCGGGGCCAUUCUGUGCAAAACCCUUGAAGUAUGUUAUUUAAAAAAAAAAUCUAAAUUACUUUAAUAUCUACAGUCUAGAGCAUGGGUGUCAACCUCAAUUUAUCGUAGGCCGCAUCAGCAUUAUGGUUGCCCUUAAAAGGGCCGGUUGUACCUGUAAGAUUAUAUACAUUUACCCAAGGCUUUUUGUCUGAGAGAAUAGGUGCAGGGACUCAACCAAGUUCUCCUCUGAUGAACCACUUUGAGCAGUGGAUGUGGUCAAAUUGCAGUGGGAGGAUCUUAAAGGGGCAAUAAAUACCAGGAGAGCAUUAUGUAUGGAUUUCAUGGGUGCACUAUGUACAGAGUGUAGAGUUCAGGUGGGAUCCGAGUACUGAGUGCAGUUUUGGGGUUUCAUAUGCACAAAGUGCAAAGUUCAGGGGUUCACUGUUUACAGUAGGGUUGAGGAGUAUGCUACAUAUAGAGGGGUUUAGCUCUCUCGGGUGUCCACCUCCCACUUCCACCCCUCCUUGCCUCUGCACCAUUCUCCAUCCCCCACCUAUGCACACAUUUCCCUCCCUGCCCCCCAAAGUUUUCUUGCACCUCACCUACCCAUCCUGGCUCCAGUACCUCCUGGCAGUGUAGGCGGCUCAGCCCCUCUCUCUCACUUAUAGGAAGAUCCUUGGUUAGAAUCUGUGCAACCGGACACAGAUAAGAAUCACAGUGCAGCUUACCAUGUGAUGCCUAACCCCACAAUGCACCUGCCAUCUGAAUCUGUAGGGCAGGCAGGAAUCUGUGAAGGUCUCCACCACUAUCCAGCUAAAAAAAGCCCUGAGUGCAAGGGCCACAUGAAAUUACCUGAAGGGCCAGAUUCAGCCUUGUGUUUGACACACGUGGUCUAGAGGAAAGACGGGAAAGAGGAGAUAUUAAUGAAACCUUAAAAUAUAUCAUAAAAAUGUUACUUGUCAACUCAAUGCAUAUGAAUGCAAUGCACAUCAACACAUCUAAAAAUGAAAAUUAUUUGAACCCUCCAGUGACCUGUACAGCAGCUAUUUAGGGAGAAAAGCAUGUUGCAAUUUAUGAAAAUUUGCUUUUUGACCAGAAUUUUUUUGUAGUUUUAAAUUUUGAGUAGCUGGAUCACUAUAGACCAGUUUACCAGUCUUGUCGAGUAGAAAAUGACAUGUGACCAGCUUGACCGCACGUGUAAAGACAAAAGGAAGAAAUCCCCGACUUGGCAAGGAUAUUGCAUGAAAAAUCUACCUGGAUUUGAAAAAAUAUUCAAAAUCCCGGCACACCACCACUGGUGAGUACUUUAUUAUUUAUUUAGCAAUAGUUUGCAGUGUGACAGAUUUGACAAAUGUCAGCACAAGAACAUUUUACUGUCAUAAAUUUGUCAUAAAUUUGCACGUUAGUGUAAAGGCCAUAAAUUAUAUUUGGGGCUUUCAUUUUUCAGUGUGACCUUGGCAUGUAUAGAUCAGUGGCUGAACGCAUAUUGUGAUUUACAUGGAUUGGAAGACAUUCUUUAUAAUUUUUUUGUUUCAAUAAUAUUUGGGUUCCCUAUGGACUUUUUUACAAGUUGUAUGUUUUUUUGUUUCUUUUUUACUUUUUUGUGAAUGAGUAACAAAGUCUCCUCCCAAACCCUAACAGGCCAUACGCCUUCAGCAAGGGGCCAGAAAAUCCCCCUUUGCAAGGCACUAUGUACUCAUGUUGAGAGACAAUAUACAUUCAGCCUCAAUUAUGUUAUCCAGCUAUGCAGAUCCACAUCAAUCACAAUGAGCUGUGCAACCCAACGAUGGUCACCUGCCACUUCUACUGUUGUAAAUGACAGAUCACCAUCCGACUACUGAAUGACAUAGUGAUAACUGGCUGGGCCUCCCAACCUUGCAAGGUACUUGUCAACCAUGUUAAGGGACAAGGGCCUCUUUCCCACAUCCUGUUCUUCAAAAGUGAGGUGAAGAUUUGUGGUGCAUACUUAUAGAAUUCUGGUAAACAUCUUUUUAAUAAGGAGGCCCCCAGAUCUCUAUGCCCUUCCAGACGAAUAAGUACAUUCACAAAAAAACUGUGUUAUUCACGUCAACAACAAGUUUUCUUUGCCUGCCAAGCUGUACAUGCCACACUCCUGCUAUUAAUUUACAGAUUUACCACUACAAUAAUACCGUCGGGUUCCUUUAAUAUAUGAAGGUUCCUUUCAAAACAUUGACAGUAUUGUCUACAUCUAUCUGCAUAGAUAAUUCUAGGAUUCUCCAUUUUUAUUGGCAAGGAUUCAGAAGUUGCAUUCCAGCAACCAUAGUCUGUGAAUACAAAUAUUUUUCUCCCGACUCAGGCCUCUCUGAGCAUAGGGGCACAUUAGAAGCCCACCAAUACCAAAGGCCUUACCUCCCACAAAAUAAAAUUAACAUACUGGAUAUUUUCCCCAGGCUAUGGUUUAUCUUGUGGAGGAUUCAGCUGAUUUUUCUUCAAGCACUUGCCAAACAUUUAAUGGGCAAAGAUGCUUGAAUCACUGCCGCUACAAUACUAUCCCAAAUCAGUGUAGGUAAAUCUGUAGUCAACAUCAAUGACAGUCCAUAGGACCAACAGGAAUUUUUUUUUUGUAAAUAAAGUAAUUGCUGGCAUCACAAUCCAAAUGUGUUUUCUGCAAAUCAAUAUUCAGAAUUUUGGUGCCAGAGCAAUCUCCUGCAUAUUUCUCCAUAUAGACUUGCAUGUUGAUUGAAAAAUAUAGUGUAAUUUUUACUUGCCAAUGUGGAAUUCAGAAAACAUCAAAGAAUAAGAAUGUCCAGUAGCUAUAAACCUGUUAAAAAAAAUAUAUAACAAUUGUACUUCUUUUUUUGCACUCCAGGUAUUGAAAAUGAAGUGGUAAAGCAAUAGGCAGAGUUAAAUGGAUGAUGGUCCUCAGAAAGAAGAGUCAUAAUGAGGCUGGGGCCAGAAGAUGACAACUGCCAUUUUCACCUACAAAGCUUUUUGAAACUGUAUCUGGAGUUCCGAGAGAGACGUUCAGUGAUGAAGACAUUCCAGUGGAGAAUAAGGAAUAACCUGAGACUGAGUCUACUGUCAGUACGGUGGAACAUGUUGCUGGGAGUCCUUCAGUUUCUGAGAGCAAUGCCUCUACAACCUCAGUAGAUGUGUCUGUGGAGCCUAAGUUGAAGCCAGGUCCGUCUAUUGCAAAGUCAAGCUUUAGGCCAAGGGCAGAUAAAAGACAACAUGCUGUUACCCAUAACAGUGUCAGAAAGAAUCUCCUUUUAACGGCUCUGGACAAAAUUAUAAAAAAGAGGAAUACUGCUUCACAAUGGGCAUGCUCCUGACAUUCAGAAUGGUUCCUAAGCACAAAAUAUUUCCCCCACCAUGGAUAUGUUCAAUUUGAGUCAAUUGUGCUGUCCCGAUGCACUAAAAAACACUUCCCACAUAUGCCAAAUUGCACCACCACUGCCACCACAAGCAGCACCACAACCUGCAACUACCGACCUCAUCCAGUACCCUACCUGUCUUAUGAACCCAUGCCAUGAGAACAUGGCUCACAUGACUCACAGAUCACACCCUACUGCCCUACACCUCACAAUUUUUUAAACCAAGUUGAAGACAUGACCAACAUUAAAUUGAGGAAGACCUACUUGCUGAAUUCUCCAGUAAGAGUUAAUAAAAAACUUCUUUCAAAGCAGGUUUCCAUUCCCCUCCUACCACUGUUCCCCUCCUACCACUGUUAUUUUUGAUUAUUAUAUAUUUUUUUUAAACAAGCUUUUUUUCUUUCCAUUAGUAGUUGUUUAUAUGACCUUUUGAAUAAUGGUUUUUUUCCUCCUUAUCCAUUUUUUUCCAUUUGCUUCGUUUUUGUAUGUUUGUUGUUUAUAGUGAAGCUUAAUGACAUUUGUGAAAAAUAAAAAACACAUUUUCACUGUCAGUUUGUUUGUGUGGGUUGUAUUACAAAAUAACACAAUAAUUCUCUGAACCUUUUUUUUUUCCCCGCUAAAAGUUACAUUCUCAGGACAAGCUUCAGGGGUAUUACCUUUUCUAAGUUCACGGAAUUAUUCCUGUGAAGAAGGGAAUAUCUGAAAAGCUUGUCCAGGAAAUUUAACCACUGCAAAUAAAAUAAAUAUAAUAGACAGUACUUCCAAACACUUGUUUUUACUUACCCGAAGCCAUAAUCACACGAUCAUUCAGCACUGGGUCCUUCUCCUCUCUAUUUACUUACCGGAUGGGUCCUUUUUCCUGAUGUCCAAGUUGCGGUCUGAGUAAGUUGGAUAAUCCCCACAUUCAGGAUCCAGAAGACCGCUGAAGUCAGACCAAGAGGAGAAAAAUGAGACCAGAUGGUGAAGGUUAAUGUGCCGUGCUGGGUUCUGCAGAUGGAAAGGACAUCAGCAAGGAACCUUGAUGGGGGGGACUCAGGUGAGUAUAACUGACCUCACCAUGAUAGGUAAAGUGAACAGAUGGCAGGAUAUGUUAGAGAGGAGGGAGGAACAGGGAAAUUAUAGAUUUGGCCCUGAGUUGGGCUUUAGUUGAUUUAAUCUGCACACACUUGGAUAUCCAUAGUA